This 482-nucleotide ribosomal RNA is filed under the name uncultured bacterium. RNAcentral describes it as "partial 16S ribosomal RNA". It matches the Rfam family "Bacterial small subunit ribosomal RNA", at positions 28 to 507 of the family's 1533-position model. The record is from RNAcentral.
GACGAACGCUGGCGGCGUGCUUAACACAUGCAAGUCGAACGAUGAACCUCGAAAUGACAUCUUCGGAAGGAUUUUUGAGAGGAUUAGUGGCGAACGGGUGAGUAACGCGUGAGCAACCUGCCUUAGACAAGGGGAUAGCCUCGGGAAACCGUGAUUAAUACCCUAUGAGACUCCACUUACGAGUGUAAGAGAAGUUAAAGCUAUUGCGGUCUAAGAUGGGCUCGCGUCUGAUUAGCUAGUUGGUGAGAUAAAAGCCCACCAAGGCGACGAUCAGUAACCGGCUUGAGAGAGUGAGCGGUCACAUUGGAACUGAGACACGGUCAAAACUCCUACGGGAGGCAGCAGUGGGGAAUAUUGCACAAUGGGGGGGGAACCCUGAUGCAGCGACGCCGCGUGAGCGAUGAAGGAAUUCGUUGCGUAAAGCUCUGUCCUUGGAGAAGAUAAUGACGGUAACCAAGGAGGAAGCACCGGCUAAAUACGUG